CCCGGGAAACUGGGUCUAAUACCGGAUAUGACUUCCUGCUGCAUGGCAGGGGGUGGAAAGAUUUAUCGGUUGGGGAUGGACUCGCGGCCUAUCAGCUUGUUGGUGAGGUAAUGGCUCACCAAGGCGACGACGGGUAGCCGGCCUGAGAGGGUGACCGGCCACACUGGGACUGAGACACGGCCCAGACUCCUACGGGAGGCAGCAGUGGGGAAUAUUGCACAAUGGGCGAAAGCCUGAUGCAGCGACGCCGCGUGAGGGAUGACGGCCUUCGGGUUGUAAACCUCUUUCAGUAGGGAAGAAGCCCCUUUUGGGGGUGACGGUACUUGCAAAAAAAGCGCCGGCUAACUACGUGCCAGCAGCCGCGGUAAUACGUAGGGCGCAGGCGUUAUCCGGAAUUAUUGGGCGUAAAGAGCUCGUAGGCGGUUUGUCGCGUCUGCCGUGAAAG
Molecule: ribosomal RNA, 445 nt
Filed under: Arthrobacter sp.
Lineage: Bacteria; Bacillati; Actinomycetota; Actinomycetes; Micrococcales; Micrococcaceae
Description: bacterial SSU rRNA
Rfam family: Bacterial small subunit ribosomal RNA
Source: RNAcentral